This 667-nucleotide ribosomal RNA is filed under the name uncultured Alphaproteobacteria bacterium. RNAcentral's name for it is "bacterial SSU rRNA". It matches the Rfam family "Bacterial small subunit ribosomal RNA", at positions 44 to 759 of the family's 1533-position model. Lineage: Bacteria; Pseudomonadati; Pseudomonadota; Alphaproteobacteria. The record is from RNAcentral.
AGGCCUAACACAUGCAAGUCGAACGGCUCUUCGGAGCAGUGGCGGACGGGUGAGUAACGCGUGGGAACGUGCCCUUUGGUUCGGAACAACACAGGGAAACUUGUGCUAAUACCGGAUGAGCCCUUCGGGGGAAAGAUUUAUCGCCAUUGGAGCGGCCCGCGUUGGAUUAGGUAGUUGGUGGGGUAAAGGCCCACCAAGCCGACGAUCCAUAGCUGGUCUGAGAGGAUGAUCAGCCACACUGGGACUGAGACACGGCCCAGACUCCUACGGGAGGCAGCAGUGGGGAAUCUUGCGCAAUGGGCGAAAGCCUGACGCAGCCAUGCCGCGUGUAUGAUGAAGGUCUUAGGAUUGUAAAAUACUUUCACCGGGGAAGAUAAUGACGGUACCCGGAGAAGAAGCCCCGGCUAACUUCGUGCCAGCAGCCGCGGUAAUACGAAGGGGGCUAGCGUUGCUCGGAAUUACUGGGCGUAAAGGGCGCGUAGGCGGACAGUUUAGUCAGAGGUGAAAGCCCAGGGCUCAACCUUGGAAUUGCCUUUGAUACUGGCUGUCUUGAGUUCGGGAGAGGUGAGUGGAAUGCCGAGUGUAGAGGUGAAAUUCGUAGAUAUUCGGCGGAACACCAGUGGCGAAGGCGACUCACUGGCCCGAUACUGACGCUGAGGCGCGAAAG